This is a long non-coding RNA of Anoplopoma fimbria (sablefish), 241 nucleotides long. RefSeq lists it as uncharacterized. The record is from RefSeq and is a predicted model, not a curated record. NCBI's taxonomy places the organism in Eukaryota, Metazoa, Chordata, Actinopteri, Perciformes, Anoplopomatidae. The transcript has 3 exons.
CCGUCCACCGUCCACGCUGUCCUGUGAAUCGUUGACCCACGCAGCUGCAUCCCCGAAACCGUGAAGAUGGCGGCCAGGACCAUGCAAGCAGCCCGAUGCCCGACAGAUGAGCUGUCGCUGACUAAUUGUGCCGUGGUGAGCGAGAAGGAUCUGCAGUCAGGACAACAUGUGACUGUGAAGACCACACCCAACCACAAGUUUGUGUUCACAGUGAAGACCCACCACACGGUGGCACCUGGAA